RNAcentral lists this ribosomal RNA (586 nucleotides) under uncultured bacterium. RNAcentral describes it as "bacterial SSU rRNA". It matches the Rfam family "Bacterial small subunit ribosomal RNA", at positions 338 to 916 of the family's 1533-position model. The record is from RNAcentral.
CCUACGGGAGGCAGCAGUGGGGAAUUUUGGACAAUGGGCGAAAGCCUGAUCCAGCAAUGCCGCGUGAGUGAAGAAGGCCUUCGGGUUGUAAAGCUCUUUUGUCAGGGAAGAAACGGUGAGAGCUAAUAUCUUUUGCUAAUGACGGUACCUGAAGAAUAAGCACCGGCUAACUACGUGCCAGCAGCCGCGGUAAUACGUAGGGUGCAAGCGUUAAUCGGAAUUACUGGGCGUAAAGCGUGCGCAGGCGGUUUUGUAAGUCUGAUGUGAAAUCCCCGGGCUCAACCUGGGAAUUGCAUUGGAGACUGCAAGGCUAGAAUCUGGCAGAGGGGGGUAGAAUUCCACGUGUAGCAGUGAAAUGCGUAGAUAUGUGGAGGAACACCGAUGGCGAAGGCAGCCCCCUGGGUCAAGAUUGACGCUCAUGCACGAAAGCGUGGGGAGCAAACAGGAUUAGAUACCCUGGUAGUCCACGCCCUAAACGAUGUCUACUAGUUGUCGGGUCUUAAUUGACUUGGUAACGCAGCUAACGCGUGAAGUAGACCGCCUGGGGAGUACGGUCGCAAGAUUAAAACUCAAAAUGAAUUGACGG